This is a non-coding RNA of Odocoileus virginianus texanus, 543 nucleotides long. Lineage: Eukaryota; Metazoa; Chordata; Mammalia; Artiodactyla; Cervidae. The record is from RefSeq and is a predicted model, not a curated record.
CGAAUCAAAAGGUCUGAACAAUGAUUGCUUUUUAUCGCGAUUGGUACAUGCGAACAAUAGGUAAACUCGUAGGGUCCUCAGGGCGGAUCUAACCUGAGCUCUUUGUUCUGCAGCCGUGGCUUGCUGCCCCCAGCGGGCAGUGAGUCAGUGGGUUCCCAAGGCCAAGGAGAGGCCCAGCCCUGGCCCCCCCAGGAUGGCAGGCCCACCCAGGGGAGUGUGAGGCCCUUCUGGGCUGACCUCAAAGACCUCUCUCCCCCCAGGAUUUAUGUAGCCUUCUGGAGGAAUGAGCAUCUUCAUGUGGAAUUACCCUGGCCUGGAGGCAGGCGCAGUGACCUCGGCUCCCGUGUUGCCUAGAUCCAGCCUCCCCUAGCUGAAAACCGCCUCCUGUUCCCCUGGGCCAAGGGGCAGCUUUAGAGGACUGCCUGAGUGCUCCACGGCGCUGGGACUGUUGUGAAGCUCAGAUGGGACAUUGUAUGCGAAGACAUGCUGCGGACACUACGCGCCAGCGCUGGAGGUACAGGUAACGGUCCGAGGAAACUUGAA